This 76-nucleotide transfer RNA is filed under the name Lachnospiraceae bacterium. RNAcentral's name for it is "tRNA-Thr". It matches the Rfam family "tRNA". Rfam says of the family: Transfer RNA (tRNA) molecules are approximately 80 nucleotides in length. Their secondary structure includes four short double-helical elements and three loops (D, anti-codon, and T loops). Further hydrogen bonds mediate the characteristic L-shaped molecular structure. tRNAs have two regions of fundamental functional importance: the anti-codon, which is responsible for specific mRNA codon recognition, and the 3' end, to which the tRNAs corresponding amino acid is attached (by aminoacyl-tRNA synthetases). tRNAs cope with the degeneracy of the genetic code in two manners: having more than one tRNA (with a specific anti-codon) for a particular amino acid; and 'wobble' base-pairing, i.e. permitting non-standard base-pairing at the 3rd anti-codon position. The record is from RNAcentral. RNAcentral also lists the same sequence under 1 other name. Lineage: Bacteria; Bacillati; Bacillota; Clostridia; Lachnospirales; Lachnospiraceae.
GCCGGUAUAGCUCAGUUGGUAGAGCAACUGAUUUGUAAUCAGUAGGUCUUCGGUUCGAGUCCGAAUCCCGGCUUCA